Molecule: long non-coding RNA, 352 nt
Organism: Poecile atricapillus (Black-capped chickadee)
Lineage: Eukaryota; Metazoa; Chordata; Aves; Passeriformes; Paridae
Exons: 4
Source: RefSeq, a predicted model, not a curated record
GGGAUGAUGAGCACAGAGCCAUCUCCUGGGCUGCUGGGGGGGCCUGGGAGAUGCUGAGUUUGUUUGGUCAGCUCCCUGCUGUGGGGGCUGCACCAAUGGGAUCUGAGAGCAGAAAAUCUGCUUUCUCAUCUAUUAAAAUCAGCUUUUUGCUCUGAUGGACUUGCAUGCACAGGAGAAUAGGCCACGGCACGAAGAUCACAGCUUUUGAACCCAAAGCCCUGUAACCAUGCAGAAGUGAAGGAAAUGCUCAUUUUUGGUGCUGCUGAUUCUGGAACAACACUUUCAGCAACUAAAAUGAAUGUCAAGGACAUAUUUUACAGCAUGUAAGAUGACAUAAUACAGAGCAACAAAA